AAGGCUAUCGAGGAAGAGCUCAACAAGAAGGCUGAAGCCAAGAACGCCGCGCCGGCGAAGAAGGGCAAAAAGGCGUCCCUCACCGCCGCGCAAGUCGCCGGCGUCGGGUUACCCCCGCUCAGCAUCGCGUAAACAAACGCGAUUAAUAUCUGUAGAUCAUUCGAUCUCUGUGCCGCUCGAAAACCGAGCAGCGCACAUUUUUCUCGCGUCGACACGAAGCAGAGCGCUCGCGGGGCGAGCGGUGAUACAAUACGCCGUUUCGCUCUUCGGCGAAUUCCAGCAUGUGAAAUAAACACGCACGUAUAUAAUCAUAAUCACAAUGCUCGUCUCUCUAACUAAAACUUAAUAUCCUCGUCACACGCGCGCUCACGCCGCGACCGGGUCGAGCUGCUUGUCCGUGAACACCCACUCGUCGCCCUUCUUGACGACGGCGAUGCACUUGCUGCCGACGCGCCAAGUCGCCGUGGCGAUGGGCGUCGGGUCAUACAGGUACAGAUCCGGGAACGCCUUUUGCAACGCCUCGGUGGCCUUCUUGGCGUGGUAGUGCGGGAUGGUGUGGUUGAUGUGAUGCGCGACGUGCGUGCUGCCGAUGCGGUGGUGCAAAAAGUCAAACACUGGCCCGUACGGGCGAUCAAUCGUCAUAAACGCGCCCUUGACCAAGUUCCAGUCGUCGCCCUCAAAGUGCGGCACGUCCACGUCAGUGUGCUGCAACCACGUGUACAGGACGAGCCAAAAGUUGGUCACCAUGUACGGUCCGACGUAGAGCGCCAUGACGGUGGCGACACCGCUGUGCGCCGCCCACGCCGCGAGCGCUCCCAAAACCGCCACGACGCCGACGUCGCUCUGCCAAACCUUCUUCGCCCACUUCCCCGGGAACAACGCGUGCUUACCCUUCUCGCCCAUGAACGGCAAGAAGUGGUUCGUGUUCCCGCGAACCGGCCCACCGCUGGCGCCGGUGAGCAAAUAAAUCGGCCACCCCAAGGCGAACACUCCGACGAGGUUCAAAAACGUAAACGGCCCUUCGCCGAGCAACCCGCGCAACUUGAACAUCACGUUCGCGUCCUCCGUCCCCAACCGCGCCGGCACGUGCGUCUCUCCCUCGAGCACGUGAUUAGUCCUCGAGUGAUGCACCGCGUGCGACCGCUGCCACGAAAAAUACGGCACCAACAACAACGAGUGCAGCGCGUAUCCCACCGCGUCUUGAAUCGUUUUAUCGUCGCUAAACGCGCCGUGUCCGCACUCGUGCGCCGCGACCCAGCACCCGGUCGCCGCCGUUCCCGUCACGAACGCGUACGCCACCCACACCGGCCAAUACGCCGCCGUCACCGGCACGCACGCCCACGCCAGCGCGCCGCACGCCAGCGUGAUCGCCGUCGAGCACGCCGCGUACGCGAGCGACUUUCCCGUGUCCCGCUCGAAGCACUCCCUCGGGAUCGCGCGCAGCACCUCUUGCAUCGUCGGGAACGUCUUCGCCUCGGCGUUCAGCGCCUUGGCGUUCAAGCCCGAGCGCAGUUGUUCGUGUCGCGACGUGUCGUAGGUCGUCGCGGCGUCGGCGCGCGCGGCGCGGGCGACGCGCGCGCGAUCGCGACGUGACGUCGUCGAGCGAGAGAACGCGGCGCGCGGGAGCGCGCGAGCGCGCGGGAGCGUCAGAGCGCGGAGCAUGACGCGCGACUGUCGUUCGUGGAUCGCGGUGCCGCGGGAAAGCGGUCGACGCGCGAGCGCCGGUGAGUGCGAACGCGACGACGCGACGGGAGAGCCUUAUCCCGCGAGGCGCGAAGGCGGACGCGAGGCGAGCGAAACGCGCGAACGAAUCGGGGCGUUACAAAGGCUAGACGACGCGCGAGAGACGCAUGGAACGUAAAAUCUUAUCCACGAGUUGUGCGAUCACGGUGUGGGAUUGACGCUCGUCGCCGUGGUCGGUGAAUAAAGACUUGAGCCUGGCGACGACGUCGUGGCGGAUGAUGAGCUCCUUGGGACGCUGGGCGUGCUCGUGGACGACGCCGAGGGUCUUGAGAAGGGUGAUGCGGAUCGUCGGUUUCGUGGUUGGGGAAGUGAUGGCGUCCAUGAGGGAUGGGAUGAAAUCCUCGUUGGCCAGGGCUUGGCACAAGCGGGGGGAUUUGGAGAUGAGAUCGAGCAAGGCUUCGAGGACGUUGGCUUGGGAGGUGGAUUCGUCGAGGACCUCGAGGAUGGAAUCGAUGGCGUCCGUCUCGAGCAAGCGAGCUUCGACUUUCCACGGUUCGAUAGCGAGCCAGGAACCGACGGCAUUGAGCGCGGAGAGUGUCCAUCCGGAGUUCACGGCUAUGAGCUGGACGUAGGUGUCCAACGCGCCGUGCUUCUCCAAAAUUUCGCGCGUUUUCCGACUCGUCGACGCCAUGUCGCACAAGAGCGGCACGGCGAGCGUCAUCGCGGAAGAGCGCGCGGUGGUCGCGACUGCGGCGGUGUUGACUUUAUCGCCAUUCGUGGCCGUCGACAUCGAGCCAUCUCCGUUCUUUUCGUCCCGAGCGCUGGCGAUGAUUUGAACGAGGAUUGGAAUCAAACCCGCCACGGCGGCUUGCUCCUGACGCUCCUUGUUCACCGCGCACAAGUUGUGCAACGCCUUCAGCGCCAUCUCCCACGAUUGCGCGUGACCACUUCGAAAGUUACCUUCGACGCAUUUCACCAAUUUGGGAAUCGCUCCGGCGUUUUGCAACACAUGAAAUGCAUUCGUUUGUUGAGACAGCAAGUGCACCAGACCGAGAAUCUUCGUCGCCGUCGAGCGAGGGACGACGCUCAAUUGCGCCAAACAUCCGUGAAUAAUUCUCACGUCCACGAGCGCCUUGGAGACUUCUGCGCAUCCUUCACCACGUUUGGCGACACGAUACAGCGUCUCGGCGACGAGUUCGCGGUAAUACUUGCCCCCACUGGAACCUCCGCUGCGCGAUCGACUGAUCGUACUCGCGCCGCCGAUUGAUCCUGUCAUCGACGAACCCCCCUCGCUGCGCGCGUCGUCGAUAUCGUCCGUGAUCAUCGCCGCAUCUUCUAAACUCGCUGUGUGCGUUGCACCGAGCAAGGUGACAAGUUUCGGGAACAGGCCUGCGCUAGCAAGGGCAAGCGAGACGGUUUGAGCGAGUUGUUUCGGCAGCUGGUCGCCGCGCUCGAUCUCCGCGGCAAUAUAAAUCGCCCCGAGUGCGUAUUUGGUGAGCUCGCGCCCGUUUCCGCUGUAUCCGUAAUCCAAUACGUCGACUAAUAUGGGAAGCGCCCCGCAUGCGACGAGACAUCGUGUGAACACCGGUCCAGCCUUGGCGGUGGCGCGACACAGCCGCAACGCCGCGAGCUUGAUCCUCAUGCUUGAAUCCUUCUUUUUCAGCACCUCUAAAGCCCUAGGUAGCACCGCAAGCGUGACGAACGAUGUGAGUAUAUCUCUGCUCAACAUACUCGCUGCCGUGACACACUCUAACGCCACCGUUCGCAUUCUUGCCGACGCCGAUUCAUUUUCUAAGACGUUGACGAAAACGCCGCACGCUCGCGUGGUAAAGAGCGUCUCGUUCGCCACCAAUACGCUCGUAGCGGUCUCCAUCGCGCGUACGAAUUCUGCACCAGCCUGUUCGGCGUCAUCUAUCGCCGCCACAUCACUCGUUGACGUGCCGAACGCAUCCUUCAAGCGAUCGACGAUUGAGAUGAGCGAUUUGUUGAAGUCGAUUUGCGCCUUUGUCACGCCCGAGUCGCUCUUCAUAAAGUUCCCCAAAUCGCUCUUCAUAAAGUUUUCUAAGUCCUUUUGCGAGCUUGAGCGCUCGCUCGCGGCUAUUAGGGGUGACGAAUUGGCGGCUGCGGCGUCGUCCGCCGCCGUGACGUCGCCGUUCACGCCAACUUUUGCCAUUUGAUCGAUGACUUUAACGAUGACGCCUUCCUCCGCGUCGUCAUUCUGCGUUCGCCCACCGCUCGCGUCUCGUUUGGUCCACGUCUCGGCGAGCACUUUGUGCUCGUCCAUCAACCACGUGUGGUUGAUCAACUCCUCCGCGCUCGGUCGAUCUUUCGGGUCCCUUUUGAAGCACAACAACAAGAAAUCCCGCAACGCCUCUGAAAUCCCCGUCGGCAGCGGCGGGUGCUCGUCGCGUACGAUCCUAAACAACGCCGGCAUGGGAUCGAGAUCAAAAUACGGCGGGUUGCUGGUCAAUAACUCUAUGAUAGUACAUCCCACGCUCCAUAUAUCCGCCGCCGCCGUGACGCUCCGCAUUUCGAUCACUUCCGGCGCCAUCCAAUACGGAGUCCCCAGCGCCUUGUCGCCCUCGCCCUCACCCUCGGCUCGCGUCCCAUCGCCAAUCCCGCGCCCAUCGCUCGCAUCACCAUCGCUUCCUUCCGACCUCCCCUCCGCCCCGAACACACCACUCAACCCAUCCCCCGACGCCCGUCCGCCCUUUGUCGCCACGCCGAAAUCCGCCAACUUCACCACUCCCUCCUUCGUCGUCAAUAUAUUCGCCCCCUUGAUGUCCCUGUGCACCACUCCUUGCGAGUGCAAGUACGCCAACCCUCUCAACACCUGCGCGACGUACACCGCGCACAGGCUCUCCGGGAACGCCCCGAAUCGACUCGGAUGUACCGUUCGCGCCAGCGACCCAUUCUCCGCGUACUCCAGCAUGAUGUACAAGCACUCCUCCACGCGCACCGCGCCCUCAUAUUUCACGAUAUUCGCGUGUUCGAGCCUCGACAGCAGCUCCACUUCGCUCGUGAUGCGCUCGAGCUGCUCGACCGGGACGCCGCGCAGCGGAAUCUCCUUCACCGCGCAAAUCGACCCCGUGCGCUGGUCGACGGCUUUGUGCACGCGCGACGUCGCGCCGGAGCCGAUGAGCUCGCCCAGGAUGUGGUUACCGACGCGUUUCACCGCGUGGUGCGGCGACGCCGGCGGCGACGCCGGCAUGGCGCGUCGGAGAGUGCGUUCGAUGCGAUUGAGAUUGGCGACGACGGUUGAAAAUUUGAGAUUUCGGCGGAGGCGCGGUCGGCGACGGAUGCACGCGCGAUGCGGGACGCGCGCGACGCGAACGCGCGUCACGAACGAAAUGAAAAGACUCGCAUGAGAUUACACGCGAGAUGGCGCGGUUAGAUCUCGGCCGAGGUGGAGACGUCGAGGAUUCGACGGCGAAUGACGCGGUCGGCGACGGCGAGUUGGGCGUCGGCGACGGAGGCUCGAACGGCGCGAAUCGCGGAUGCGGUCGUGGCGAUGAUGGCGAUCGCGCCGAGAGGCGAUUUGGGGGGUAACGUUCCCGCGCGAAUGUGCGCGGAGAGGGCGUAGAUGGCGUACACGGUGGGGAUGGCUUGGAAGACGUAAAAGGCGACGACGGCGAGGCGUUGCGACGCGGCGUACGCGACGGUUUCGUAGUGAGGAAAACCGCUCGCCGUUCGGGCGAAUGUGCGGAAGUGUACCGUGGCGUCGCGGAGUUCGGUGAUGAGCGAACACGCGAUUGCGACGACGAAAACGUCGUGGUGCAACGCGAGGAGCGUGACGGCCAAAGCGACGACGCGGCGAAACAUCUCGCCGCGCUCGCGGCGGGCGCCGUCGACGACGACACGACCGACCAUCACCAUGACGUACACCUUGAGUAACUCCACCGCAGCUAACUUUCCAGCCUGCUUUCUUUCGUUCGGAAGUAUCCACGAGAUGGCGGCGGCGCGCACGUUUUGCGUGUCGUCGAUGAAGCGAUACGCCGCCGUGCCGACGGCGGCGGCGACGACUGCCUUGGUCAACGGGACGCUGAGCGCCAAGGAACGUUCCAUGAGCGUGCCGUGUGCGCUCGAUGCUUCGGCGAGCUUGACUUUACUAACCUUUUUACCGAGCUGCGGCAACGCCACGCUCGAGACGACGGCGGCUAAGAAGGUCGCGCAGCUAAAGACUGCGACGACGCCGACGAGCAGAGGCACAGCCAUCGGGAGCAUUUCCGUCACUGUUGAAGGAUUGCGCUGCGCGAACAUCGCACAGAUGGCCACUACCACGGCUAAGUAUUGAAAUUCCGGCGCGAUGGACGAGGUAGAAACCUCGCUUCUAGAUGCAUCGUCGCUCUUCUUGACCCACGUCAUUUGCAAAUCGUAAAUCAACUUGUUCGCAAACGCAGCCUCGCAAUACGCAAAGUAAAACUCAAACAUGCGCAAAAACUUUCGUGAGUAGCCCAUAGAAAGGAUUCGUUGGGCGUGAUGCAUCAUACGCUCGCGCCACAAUCGCAAAGUGACGGCAUAAUGCAAGCCGAUAUCGUCGUAUCCCUCGAGCACGAGACCACGCGGCGAAGCGCUCUUCAUCGCCCCCACCGACGGCAAGUGGCCACCUGGGAAAAUGUACGCACGAAUGAAGUCGCUUUCACUGUUGCAGUAUGACUCGUAGCGGCCGUCCGGCAUAGUGAUGACUUGGAUCGCGGCUCGCCCGCCGGGUUUCAGCACUCUGUGCACGGUGCCAAAGAACGUCGGCAAGUGUUCGUGUCCGACCGCCUCAAGCAUUUCAAUCGACACCACCUUGUCGAACGUUCCUUGCACAUCGCGGUAGUCACAAAUGACGAUGUCGAUCAAGUGUGACAAACCGGCGGCUUUGACGCGCGCCGUUGCUUCGGCGUGCUGCUCGUGCGACAGUGUCAAACCAGUGACAUGGCAAUUCUUCUCGCUCGCCAUGCGAAUCGCGCACGUCCCCCAACCGCAGCCAAUCUCAAGCACGCGAUCGCCUGGCUUAAUACCCGCUCGAGCGAUCAUGGCGUCUAUCUUUAAAUACUGCGCCUCUUCCAAGUGCUUUUCUUGGGCCUCGAACGUCUUGAACUUCUUCAAAACGUCUACGGACAUCGCAGCGUCGUCGAUAGCGCCGUGAAUGGCGCUCGAGUACAACAUGGUGUCAUCCAAAAACAGCUUGUAGAACUCGUUUCCAGCGUCGUAGUGGUACUCUAUGUUUUUACGAGAUCCUUCUUUCGUGUUACUUAACGCCUUGUGUGCUGCCAUCUCCAUUUGCGCUCCUACCCAGUUAACCGCCUCCGUGAGGAGACCCACUGGGUCGAGACGCAUCUUCGGCUUACAGCUCUCCGUCUCUGCGCCAGAAGCCGCGGGAUGGCCUUUGCAAAUCAUGUCCAUGAACCCAAUUAAAUCCACGUCGAAAUCUCCGUUCAUAUAACACUCACCAAGACCGAUAUCUGCGCGCAAAAUCGUUUGCAUGAAGAGUCUUUGGUUGAAUACCGUCAUGGUAAUCGUCUCCGACGACGCGUUGGCCUCUUUACCCAUCAUAAGACGUUCGCUUCCAUCCGGUAAAAUCAUGCGGAGUCGUUUGUCGGCUGGUAACCACCCCACGCACGCGCGCUGGAAAAGCGGUAAGACCAUCUUCGUGCUCAUGGACAACUUUGGAUCGCACGACCGCGGCAUCCACGGCACGGAUGACUUGCCGAGCAUUUUGUCCACACAAUCAACCGCUGAUUUGAUACCAUCCUCGUGAAAUCCGUAGCCGCACCACGCGCCGCAAAACCAAACCCGGUCUUUACCUUGUAACGCCUUGAUCUCCUCCUGCGCCGCGAUCGCGGCUUUGUUAAAUAACGGAUGCGCGAGCGUGACUUUGUGUUCGACCGAGCCUGCCUUCGGCUCGCGCGGCGGGUUCAGCGUGACGAACAAAUCCUUCGUCCCAGGGGCGAGGUUUUGCAACAAGUUGACCCAGUAAGUCACACAAACGCUUCGAUUUGCGGCUUCUUCGGCGGGAAUGCCUAAGCGAUCGCCGCGAAGGCAGUUCCACGAUGCCCAGGCAUCUUUGUUCCGCGGCAUCAUUGUUUCGUCGGUGUGCAAAUACACGUCAUUCUCUUGAUACUUCACCGCCGACAGAGCCGAGACUUCUUCCUCGCUCGCAGCUUUGCCAAGUAUUUGUAACGCUUGAUCGCUAUGGCACGCGAAAACGACGUCGUCGAAAACCUCGGUGGACUCCUGAACUUUUCCCUUGGCGUCCUCUGUCUUAAAAGUCACGCUCACGCCCCCCGCCACGCGGUACACCUUGGUCACGUACGCGCCCUUACGCACGUCUUUGAGCUCGCGCUCAACGGCGUCGACGUAAGCGCUCGAUCGACCACUGACGACUCGCCAGAGAGGUCGCUCGAUGAUGUUUAAUAAGUGAUGGUUCACCCAAAAUCGUACGAGCGUGCGCACUGGGAACGCCAUCGCGUCGUCGUCGCUGCAGCUCCAAAUCGCCGCACACAUCGGCACCACGUACGACUCUUGAAAGAACGCCGAGUACUUGCGAGCUUUGAGGUACUCACCCAAAGAGACGUCCGCGAACUCGCUCGCGCGUUCCGGCGCCAAAACCUCUGGCGCCUCGCGACCAAAACGUAGAAUCUCCCGAAUCAUAUUCAAAAACCGUCCGCUCAUCGCGUUCGACUUUUGCGCGAACACGCCUUUCAGUCCUAUGCUCCCCCACUCGACGUCUCCCGUGGACAAUGAAAACGACAUGUCGCUCGGUUCGCUCUCGACGCCGAGCUCGCCGAACAGGCCCACCAGGUGCGGGUACGUCGUCAGGUUGAACACCUGGAAGCCCAAAUCCACGUCGCACUUCGCCGUGCUCGAGUAUUGCGUCAGUGCGUGUCCACCGAGCUUCGUCGACGCUUCGAACAGCGUCACCGCGCCGCACGAGGGCGUCGAGGGCGCGCUUUGCGCUUUUACACUUUUUGGUCCGCCGCCGGCGUCGUCGGCGUUCUUUUGGAGUAAAUACGCCGCCGACAGGCCGCUGACGCCGCCGCCGAUGACGGCGACGCGUUUACCGCGUGUGGUGGCUUCGUCCUUCAUCUCGGCGUCGCCCGCGCGCGCGAUGACGCGUCGAGCGCUGACGUCACUCUGAGGUGGUCACUUUAGGGGACGGCGGGACGAGGCGCGCGCGGACGCGAACGCGGCCACGUUUGGGCGCUACGAUGAUCUAAUUCUAGUUACACGUUGUUGUGCUAAUGUUUGAGCGCGCGCUACGUCCACACGAUGUGCCGGUCGGAGGUGACCUCGUAUCGGCGCUGGUCCACGAGGCGACGCUUUACGUGGUCGCAUCGAAGGUCGGGGUGCGGGAACCGCGCGAGGUCGGCCACGCCGUCGUGGUCGAAAUCGGUGGCGGAUCGUAAUGGAAUGGCGGUCGUGGCGUCGGGCCCGAUUCCGAGCGCGGCUUCGGCGUUGUGCUUGGUUUCGAGGACGUGCUGGAGGAAUUGUUCCUUGUCGCGCGCGUCUCCGCAAUACGACGCCGUGACGGUGUGCGCGCCUGGGAACGUACCAUCGUCUCCCGCGUUGGCGGUGAUGAAAUUUCCCGAUUCUGCGGUGCUCAUGGCGUGGAUGUGGAACUCUCCCGCCGUCGUCGGCACGAGAACGUAGUUGAAGUAACUCUGCUCCGGAAAUUCGCCGUAGUUCACCUUGGAUACUAAUCGACUCUCCCCCUCGAGCCAUCGCUCGCACAAACUCACGCUCCGCGUCGUGGCUGGGAAAAUGACGAGCUUCGUGUUCAUGUUUCCUUGCGCCUCGAACUCGUUACCGACGUCUGAGCUCACGACGACGUCGUACUUUUCGAGCGCGCUCGUCCACGCUUCGGUUGGAUCGGACAAAAACACCGUGUCCGAAUCGAGCAUCACCACUGGGAUGCGCGCUUUCAGUAAUUCUAAGGCCGCGUGUACCUUGCGCCACGACAUGGCGUCGCGCGCGACGCCAUCGUUCGGAUCUUGCCCGUACGCCCGCGCGAAGUCGGCGUCGUAAAAGCAAUCCACGCCGCGAUGCGCCUCGCACGAUCGCUGCGUCUCCGUGUCGUACGUCAGCACCGUGACGUGCGGCAACAACGCCGGUGCCCAUCGUUUAACGCUCUGAAUCUGCAAAUACGUCAUCCCCCACUCGAACGGCUUGGUGAGGAUUAAUAUCCGCGCGUCGUCGCUCGCCCGCUGCGUCUCUCGCACGUGCGUCCGCAGCCCCGGCACGCCGCGUCCCGGCGACCGCAGUCCCGGCACGCGCGUGCGCAGCGAUAUCCUAUUUAUCACAUCCGCCUUCGCCGGCGCCCGCAUCCGCGCUUCCGCGCUCAACGGCGCUCCGAAAAAGUUCCCUCGCUCGUUCGCCGUCCCGCCCAGCCUCGCCGUCGCCCUCGAUCGCCCCGCCGCGCCCUCUCGCACCGCCGCGACCGCGAGCGCGCACGCCAGCGCGACCGCCACCGCGACCGCGAUCCCCGAGCCGCGCGUUCGCGCGCCGAUUCGCCUCGCGCGGCGCACCUCGGCGACGCGUUCGUCCUCAACACCAUUCGCUUCCCGCGCGCGCGACUCCGUCCCGUACGCCGUCGACGCGCCGCGCGCCAUCAGCCCCGUCGCGGGGUCCUCGCUCGACAUCUCCGCGCGUCGACGCUCGCGCGCGCGCGCGUCGCGGUGUGCCGCGCGCGUCGCCCGCGCGCCGCGCGAAGAUGUCGUAACACCCAUCGACGGCGCGACACAAAUCGUCGCGCGAGCGCGCGCGAGCGUCGCGCUCGACGCCCGGCGCCGACUCGAGCGACGCGCGAACGCGAUCGACGCGCGAUCGACGACGCGCGAUGGCGCGAACGGAGCGCACGGCGCUGCUGCGCGGCGAUGAAGACGUGGAAAUCGCGUUGAAAACGCGUCGCGGCGACAAAGACGCGUCCGCGGACGACGCGCGCGAGGCUCUCGGGCGACGCGAGAGGCGCGCGCGCGAGUCGAACGGUGGCGCGGAGGCGUCGACGAGCGCGCGCGGGAUGAAGACGGCGCGCGCGGUGGUGGUGGGGACGUUGGCGGCGGGGGCGAUCGCGGCGGGCGUCGCGGCGUUCGCGGCGUCGCCGCGCGCGGCGUCGAUGACGGCCGAUCGCGCGUUCGCGUCGCUCGGUGAGCGAGGAAUGGCGAUGUUGGGCUCGAGCGAGGGCGCGGGUCGCGACGCGAGACCGGUGCCGGUGCUGUCGAAACGAUUUCCGGGAUACGCGGCGCCGUUUAGCGGACGUUUCGAACGCAUCGGCGAGUGGCCCGAGCACUGGUUGGUGAAGUGCUCGAAGCACGUGGUGUGCGAGCAAUCACACUUGGGAGCGUUUUUGGGGUCUCGUGACGCGCCCGCGCCGUAUGCUAACCCGCUCGGGCACGGGCUGCCGCGUGGAUACGUGCGGCCAGACCAGGCGCGCAUAAACGAGUUCAUCUCGACGUGGGACAGCAACGCUAGACAGGCGCACGGGGGGGUGUAUGAGCUGCCGCAAGCUGGCAAGGCUAAAAUGGUCGCGAUGGCGCAUAAUUCUGCGUACUUUUACAACUUUGUGCACGUGCCAAAGGCGGGCGGGUCGUAUUUUUCCAUCACCGUCUUGAUGGAAGCCCUGGAGCGCAGCGGUGAGCAUCACGGGUAUCCGUACAAACUCACGCACGAGCCCGUAUCGCACUGGAUCACGCUUCCACAGGUGGAUCUUACGCAGACAAACGUGAAGGAGACGUAUACACAUUUCCAGGAAGGGAAGCCGGAGGGCAUUUUUGGACCCGAAAAUACCAAACAAAUGUAUAAAGAAGGCAAGCGGAUGUUCGGAAAGGGCCAGUUCGGCAUGGGACUGUGCGGAGUUAUUCACGCACCGUGCGUGUACUUGACUGUGUUGCGCGAUCCGGUGGAACGUUACUUGAGUCAUUACAAGUACUCGUGCUUGGCCGGGUCUGAGGGCGCCGCGCAGUGGUUACCCGAGUGGAAAGAACUCGACCGUUGCCCGUUGGAUCCGAUCGAGUUCAUGGACUACCUCGGACCAAACCUGGACUGGACGAUCGAGCUCGCCCCUGGCGCGAAGAACGCGCAAGAGCGCAUGGAGACAGCCAAAAGAAAUCUCGACAGUAACUGCUUGCGAUACCUCAUACUCGAGAAGUACGAAGACGGGUUGGAUAAACUCGGCGCGACGUACGCCGAUUUCUUAUUUUUGAACAAAGAGCCCGCGAAAGAAAGGCACAAAAAAAAAAA
This 11907-nucleotide long non-coding RNA is filed under the name Ostreococcus sp. 'lucimarinus'. Its description in RNAcentral is "long non-coding RNA (OLUC_LNC000048)". Lineage: Eukaryota; Viridiplantae; Chlorophyta; Mamiellophyceae; Mamiellales; Bathycoccaceae. The record is from RNAcentral.